CUACCCCCUCCCCCCCCACGCCGAGGAACUCUCCCAACCCCGCGUCACCCUGACCUGCCUGGCCCGCGGCUUCCGCCCUCGCGACAUCGAGAUCCGUUGGCUCCGCGACCACCAGAACGUGCCGGCCACCGACUACGUCACCACCGGCGUCUUGGCCGAGGAGUGCGGCGAUGCCGCCGGCGCCGACGGCGACACCUACUUCGUCUACAGUAAGAUGAGCGUGCCCACCUCCAGCUGGCGCGGCGGCACCGUCUACGCGUGCAUGGCGGUGCACGAGGCGCUGCCCAUGCGCUUCAGCCAGCGCACCCUGCAAAAACUGCCCGGUAAAUAAAGUGAUGGG
Molecule: non-coding RNA, 340 nt
Organism: Numida meleagris (helmeted guineafowl)
Lineage: Eukaryota; Metazoa; Chordata; Aves; Galliformes; Numididae
Source: the annotation of a RefSeq genome assembly